AUUGAACGCUGGCGGCAGGCUUAACACAUGCAAGUCGAGCGGGGUGAUGGUGCUUGCACUAUCACUUAGCGGCGGACGGGUGAGUAAUGCUUAGGAAUCUGCCUAUUAGUGGGGGACAACAUCUCGAAAGGGAUGCUAAUACCGCAUACGUCCUACGGGAGAAAGCAGGGGAUCACUUGUGACCUUGCGCUAAUAGAUGAGCCUAAGUCGGAUUAGCUAGUUGGUGGGGUAAAGGCCUACCAAGGCGACGAUCUGUAGCGGGUCUGAGAGGAUGAUCCGCCACCAUGGGAGUGAGACACGGCCCAGACUCCGACGGGAGGCAGCAGUGGGGAAUAUUGGACAAUGGGGGGAACCCUGAUCCAGCCAUGCCGCGUGUGUGAAGAAGGCCUUAUGGUUGUAAAGCACUUUAAGCGAGGAGGAGGCUCUUUUGGUUAAUACCCAAGAUGAGUGGACGUUACUCGCAGAAUAAGCACCGGCUAACUCUGUGCCAGCCGCCGCCGUAA
Molecule: ribosomal RNA, 503 nt
Filed under: uncultured bacterium
Lineage: Bacteria
Description: partial 16S ribosomal RNA
Rfam family: Bacterial small subunit ribosomal RNA
Source: RNAcentral